This 171-nucleotide transfer-messenger RNA is filed under the name Eubacteriales bacterium. RNAcentral's name for it is "partial transfer-messenger RNA". It matches the Rfam family "transfer-messenger RNA", at positions 1 to 185 of the family's 374-position model. Rfam says of the family: Bacterial tmRNA, also known as 10Sa RNA or SsrA, is named for its dual tRNA and mRNA-like properties. The record is from RNAcentral. Lineage: Bacteria; Bacillati; Bacillota; Clostridia; Eubacteriales.
GGGGGCGACAUGGUUUCGACGGGGGAACUAGAUGGCAUGAGGAGCGAGCCGGGGUUGCUGCUAGCCCGUAAAACGGUGGCAAAGGCUUAACUGCCGACAAACACGAAUACGCUCUGGCUGCCUAGGUAGCCAGCAUCCUGCCUGCUUCAGCCUGCGUAGCAGGGUCAGGGU